UAACAAUGGAAAGCGGACAGAAGACACCGUACAGGUUUUCAACCAGAAUGUGCCCCCAACACGGGUUUGACUGGCUAAUGUAUGUCGAUCCCAAAUACAAAACACUGUACUGUGGCAUCGGCUGAGCCAUGUUCAACUUUUUUUAUGGGCCAGUUAAAUUCAUUUGAGAAAAAAUAUUUUUUAGAUGUGAGAUCUUUAAGGAGGUUGUGAGUAAUAUUAGCAAAAACAGCCGUGGAAAUGUGUUCACGAGUGGCACUCACCCUGAUGAGUCGGUGCCAGACGAGAUAAAGCUGAGGGGCCGUGGGCAAGCCGAGGUCAGUAGACAUCCUAAUCAUGCACUAAUCUCUGAUGUUCUAGUUCAGCACUGCGAUUACAAAUGGAAAGAAAGGAUCCCAGGGCCAGGCAGGGAGGGGAUUAAAUGAUCAGCACUCGAACAGGGCACCCGUUCUUCUCUUUCCACUGGUUUCACAGCGUGUCUCACUGGAUCAUGUUUCAUUGGUGUCCGUCAACAACUGCAAAGACAAGAGAGGACGACAGAGGAGGGACAACCCGUUAAAUGCUUUCUACCCGAGGACAACUACAGGCCUCAACAUUUCCAACAGCAGCUGGCUAACACACAAGAAAAUGUUCAGAACAAACUUUCUGGCAUCUACUCGGCUUUCCAAAGCUUGGGCUCGUUUCCACAGACAGCACGGAAACCCCAGCGGGCGCCUGAUGACAGCACAUUUGAAAGCAACAGUAUCCAUCUCUGGAGGUCUUUGUGUGUCCCUCUCUCACUUUCUCCGACUGUAAUUCAUGUUUGUUUGGUGGGAUCCCCACCAAAGUUCAACGGCCACGUGACAUCUUCAGGGCAGCACACAAUGAAGGCUACAAAAGUGCAAUCUCGGGUCUGAAAGGAGGAAGUGCACUUGGAACGGAGCUGAGUAAAUAUAGGAAGUGGCCCCGUCGUGAUCGUCUUUGCAGCGAAACAAAAGCACUCAUCCUGUUCUCGCUCGGCAGUGCUGACGCGCAAACUCAACAAAUCUGCCGAGUCAACAGCAUCUGAGUCUUCACAGUAGUUAAUCACAACACUGGACGGAGGACUGAAAGGCCGAGGCGGGUGAACACAUGAAGCUCUUUGAACAGCAUACAGGAAGUUCAUAGCAGCUACAGGACAAUCGUUGGCACUGCUUGCUGGGACACUCUAAUGGAGAUAAACUGGAGCGUCAUUUAUAUAAUUACACUCACGCACACUUGCCAAAAAAACGUAAGUCACUGACCGACCAUAAAGAGUCAGAAGGUUGUGAAACUGGUGAGCUGGAUCUGAGUCACAAAUCCCACCGUCAUUUGACUUCAGGCGUCAAUGUAACCGUCCCAUCAUUAUGGG
Molecule: long non-coding RNA, 1366 nt
Organism: Gasterosteus aculeatus aculeatus (three-spined stickleback)
Lineage: Eukaryota; Metazoa; Chordata; Actinopteri; Perciformes; Gasterosteidae
Source: Ensembl